GACGAACGCUGGCGGCGUGCUUAACACAUGCAAGUCGAACGGAAAGGCCCUGCUUUUGUGGGGUGCUCGAGUGGCGAACGGGUGAGUAACACGUGAGUAACCUGCCCUUGACUUUGGGAUAACUUCAGGAAACUGGGGCUAAUACCGGAUAGGAGCUCCUGCUGCAUGGUGGGGGUUGGAAAGUUUCGGCGGUUGGGGAUGGACUCGCGGCUUAUCAGCUUGUUGGUGGGGUAGUGACUUACCAAGGCUUUGACGGGUAGCCGGCCUGAGAGGGUGACCGGCCACAUUGGGACUGAGAUACGGCCCAGACUCCUACGGGAGGCAGCAGUGGGGAAUAUUGCACAAUGGGCGGAAGCCUGAUGCAGCAACGCCGCGCGCGGGAUGACGGCCUUCGGGUUGUAAACCGCUUUCGCCUGUGACGAAGCGUGAGUGACGGUAAUGGGUAAAGAAGCACCGGCUAACUACGU
This 467-nucleotide ribosomal RNA is filed under the name uncultured bacterium. RNAcentral's name for it is "partial 16S ribosomal RNA". It matches the Rfam family "Bacterial small subunit ribosomal RNA", at positions 28 to 506 of the family's 1533-position model. The record is from RNAcentral.